UACGGGGGGGGUAAGCGUUGUUCGGAAUUACUGGGCGUAAAGGGCUCGUAGGCGGCCAACUAAGUCAUACGUGAAAUCCCUCAGCUUAACUGGGGAACUGCGUCUGAUACUGGAUGGCUUGGAUUUGGGAGAGGGAUGCGGAAUUCCAGGUGUAGCGGUGAAAUGCGUAGAUAUCUGGAGGAACACCGGUGGCGAAGGCGGCAUCCUGGACCGAGAUUGACGCUGAUGAGCGAAAGCUAGGGGAGCAAACGGG
RNAcentral lists this ribosomal RNA (253 nucleotides) under uncultured bacterium. RNAcentral describes it as "partial 16S ribosomal RNA". It matches the Rfam family "Bacterial small subunit ribosomal RNA", at positions 524 to 776 of the family's 1533-position model. The record is from RNAcentral.